GACGAACGCUGGCGGCGUGCUUAGCACAUGCAAGUCGAGCGGAAAGGCCCUUCGGGGUACUCGAGCGGCGAACGGGUGAGUAACACGUGAGUAACCUGCCCCAGACUUUGGGAUAACCCUCGGAAACGGGGGCUAAUACCGGAUACGACACAGCUUCGCAUGGGGUCUGUGUGGAAAGUUUUUCGGUUUGGGAUGGGCUCGCGGCCUAUCAGCUUGUUGGUGGGGUGAUGGCCUACCAAGGCGACGACGGGUAGCCGGCCUGAGAGGGCGACCGGCCACACUGGGACUGAGACACGGCCCAGACUCCUACGGGAGGCAGCAGUGGGGAAUAUUGCACAAUGGGCGGAAGCCUGAUGCAGCGACGCCGCGUGAGGGAUGACGGCCUUCGGGUUGUAACCUCUUUCAGCAGGGACGAAGCGUAAGUGACGGUACCUGCAGAAGAAGCGCCGGCCAACUACGUG
RNAcentral lists this ribosomal RNA (461 nucleotides) under uncultured bacterium. Its description in RNAcentral is "partial 16S ribosomal RNA". It matches the Rfam family "Bacterial small subunit ribosomal RNA", at positions 28 to 507 of the family's 1533-position model. The record is from RNAcentral.